UGAAUACGAGACGCUAAGGCGUCGAAGUAGUGUAUGUCAUACUUCCAAGAAAAGCUUGCACUGUCAUAGAUAAAAAACGCCUGUACCAUAACCGACACAGGUGGGUAGGUAGAGUAUACUAAGGGGCGCGAGAUAACUCUCUCUAAGGAACUCGGCAAAAUAACUCCGUAACUUCGGGAGAAGGAGUGCCUUAUUCGUAAGGUUGCAAUAACAAGAUCCAAGCAACUGUUUAUCAAAAACACAGGACUCCGCUAAGUCGUAAGACGAUGUAUGGGGGCUGACGCCUGCCCAGUGCCAGAAGGUUAAAGAAGUUGGUUAGCAAUUGCGAAGCUGAUAACUGAAGCCCUGGUGAACGGCGGCCGUAACGAUAACGGUCCUAAGGUAGCGAAAUUCCUUGUCGGGUAAGUUCCGACCCGCACGAAAGGCGUAAUGAUUUGGAUACUGUCUCGGAGAGGGGCUCGGUGAAAUAGACUUGUCUGUGAAGAUGCGGACUACCUGCACCAGGACAGAAAGACCCUAUGAAGCUUUACUGUAACUUGGAAUUGAAAUUGGACUUUAUUCGCGCAGUAUAGGUGGGAGGCGUUGAUUAUAAUCUUGUGGGAUUAUUGGAGCCAUCAGUGAGAUACCACUCUUGUAAUGUUAGAUUUCUAACUUUGAAUCAUUAUCUGGUCAAAGAACAGUUUCAGGCGGGCAGUUUGACUGGGGCGGUCGCCUCCUAAACGGUAACGGAGGCGUACAAAGGUUUCCUCUGAACGGUUAGAAAUCGUAUCUAGAGUGUAAAGGCAUAAGGAAGCUUGACUGUGAGACCUACAAGUCGAGCAGGACGAAAGUCGGUCUUAGUGAUCUGACGGUACUGAGUGGAAAGGCCGUCACUCAACGGAUAAAAGUUACUCUUAGGAUAACAGGCUGAUCUCCCCCAAGAGUUCACAUCGACGGGGAGGUUUGGCACCUCGAUGUCGGCUCAUCGCAUCCUGGGGCGGUAGUACGUCCCAAGGGUUGGGCUGUUCGCCCAUGAAAGCGGUACGCGAGCUGGGUUCAGAACGUCGUGAGACAGUUCGGUCCAUAUCCGGUGUAGGCGUUAGAAUAUUGAGAGGAGCCUUCUUUAGUACGAGAGGACCGAGAAGGACAUACCUCUGGUGUACCAGUUAUCGUGCCAACGGUAAACGCUGGGUAGCUAUGUAUGGAGUGGAUAACCGCUGAAAGCAUCUAAGUGGGAAGCCCACCUCAAGAUAAGUA
This 1236-nucleotide ribosomal RNA is filed under the name metagenome. RNAcentral's name for it is "bacterial LSU rRNA". It matches the Rfam family "Bacterial large subunit ribosomal RNA", at positions 1564 to 2810 of the family's 2925-position model. The record is from RNAcentral.